RNAcentral lists this small RNA (615 nucleotides) under Pongo abelii (Sumatran orangutan). RNAcentral's name for it is "retained intron". Lineage: Eukaryota; Metazoa; Chordata; Mammalia; Primates; Hominidae. The record is from RNAcentral.
UUCUGAGCUCCUCUUCCGGUUUCCAUUCCCCACCAGUGCAGGCACCUUCAGGGAUACAACCCCUUCGACCAGGGCUGUGCCAGCAACUGGUAUUUAACAAUUUGUGCACCACUGGGACCCAAGUACAUGGCUGAAGCUGUCCAGCUGCAGAGAGUGGUGGGGCCUGACUGGACAUCCAUGCCGAACCUGCACCCUCCAAUGUCCCCCUCUGCUCUCAACCCCCCAGCCCGCCCUGGCCCCCAGCCCCAACCUCUGGAUCCCUCCAAACCAGGGAAGGGUCCCCCAGGGCGUGGUGAGGCUGCAGUUCUCCAGGAGUUCCACACGGGCCCAGUGCUGCCCCUGCUGCUGCAGGAGCCCCCAGGCGAGGUUCGGCCUUCCUCUCGCCCCUGUGCACCCGGAGAUGCCCGCAGCACCAGCACCUGAGCUCACCUCCUGAAUCCACCUCCUGAACCCGCGUCCUGAUUCCGCCUCCUGAACCCGCCUCCUGAACCCGCCUCCUUACCUCCCACUUCCUGAGCCCUCAGUGGAACCCUUUCUGUGCCCUGCCUUUACCCACUCCCCUGGUGGGACUGCCAAGACCCUCAAUGCCCAUUAAAUACCCUUGCCUGCCUCUUA